Molecule: long non-coding RNA, 1006 nt
Organism: Cyprinus carpio carpio
Lineage: Eukaryota; Metazoa; Chordata; Actinopteri; Cypriniformes; Cyprinidae
Source: Ensembl
CCCUGCGUUUGGACCCAGACCCUGUUUCUUCCAUGGCGUACUCUUGACCGCGCCAUGACAGAAUCCAGCCAGCAAACAUGGGUCCAGCAGGGAGGUUCCUCGAUGUCCGCCAGGGAGAUCGGAGCAUAGAGGAUUAUGCCUGGGACUUCGUGGGGGCGGCUCGGUUGUCAGCUGCAGAAAGGACCUGCCUAAUGGUCUGUUUCUGCGGAGGCCUAGCCGAGCCCUUCAGGUCCCUUAUGCCAUUCUGGCACCCUGAGAAGACGCUGGAGGACUAUAUCAACCUGGGCCUGCAGCUGAGUGGCUCAGCCGUCAGGUUGGGGGUGCUGACCCAGGAAGUUCCCCGAGAGGUGGUGGUGGCCGCUCACGAGUCCCCCGAGGCGGCGGUGGCCGCUCACUAGUCCUCCGAGGCCGAGUCCCCCGAGGCGGUGGCCGCUCACGAUCCCCCCGAGGCAGCGGUGGACGCUCACCAGGUUCCAGAGGCGGCGGUGGCCGCUCACCAGUCCCCCGAGGAGGCAGUGGCCGCUCACGAGUCCUCCAAGGCGGCGGUGGCCGCUCACGAGGUUCCAGAGGCGGCGGUGGCCGCUCACGAUCCCCCCGAGGCGGCGGGGUCUGCCAUUGCCUGUUCCAAGGGGGCAGCUCCACACACAUCGCUGUGUAUGUUGUAUAAAUAGGCCAAGGUGGCCGCUGGUUCUGCCCUGGGUUCCCAUUCCAUCGGCUCUGCCUCAAUCCCCAGGUCCCCCUACAGCACACGGACCUGGAUCCCCGUCCCUCCCCCUGCUCCGCCCCCGCACGGCCGUUCCCCUGGUUGGGCGUUCUGGAACGUCUGGAAUCCGUUCCUUAGAGGAGGGGUCCUGUCAUGAGUCCGGACCUGGUGUUUCUCCCUCUCACCACCAGAGGCACCAUUUCCAAUUCUCCCGGACUCAUUUACUCCACACACCUGUUCACCCACUCAAACACACACACACCUGGUGCCCAUUGUCUUGGCCUAUUUAUACAACAUACUCCC